Molecule: ribosomal RNA, 492 nt
Filed under: uncultured bacterium
Lineage: Bacteria
Description: partial 16S ribosomal RNA
Rfam family: Bacterial small subunit ribosomal RNA
Source: RNAcentral
GAUGAACGCUAGCUACAGGCUUAACACAUGCAAGUCGAGGGGAAACGGCAUUAAGUGCUUGCACUUUUUGGACGUCGACCGGCGCACGGGUGAGUAACGCGUAUCCAACCUUCCCAUGACUAAGGGAUAACCUGCCGAAAGGCAGACUAAUACCUUAUGGUCUUCACUGACGGCAUCAGAUGUCAAGUAAAGAUUUAUCGGUUAUGGAUGGGGAUGCGUCUGAUUAGCUUGUUGGCGGGGUAACGGCCCACCAAGGCAACGAUCAGUAGGGGUUCUGAGAGGAAGGUCCCCCACAUUGGAACUGAGACACGGUCCAAACUCCUACGGGAGGCAGCAGUGAGGAAUAUUGGUCAAUGGGCGAGAGCCUGAACCAGCCAAGUAGCGUGCAGGAUGACGGCCCUAUGGGUUGUAAACUGCUUUUGUAUGGGGAUAAAGUCAAUCACGUGUGAUUGUUUGCAGGUACCAUACGAAUAAGGACCGGCUAAUUCCGUG